RNAcentral lists this ribosomal RNA (270 nucleotides) under uncultured archaeon. RNAcentral's name for it is "partial 16S ribosomal RNA". It matches the Rfam family "Archaeal small subunit ribosomal RNA", at positions 477 to 747 of the family's 1478-position model. The record is from RNAcentral.
CUGCAGCCCGAGUGGUGGUCGAUUUUAUUGAGCCUAAAGCGUCCGUAGCCGGACUAGUAAACCCUUGGGUAAAUUGGGCAGCUUAACUGUCCAAAUUCCGAGGGGACUGCUAGUCUUGGGACCGGGAGAGGUCAGAGGUACUCAAGGGGUAGGGGCUAAAUCCUGUAAUCCUUUGGGGACCACCAGUGGCGAAGGCGUCUGACUAGAACGGAUCCGACGGUAAGGGACGAAACCCUGGGGCGCAAACCGGAUUAGAUACCCGUGUAGUCC